RNAcentral lists this ribosomal RNA (292 nucleotides) under uncultured bacterium. RNAcentral describes it as "partial 16S ribosomal RNA". The record is from RNAcentral.
GGACUACACGGGUUUCUAAUCCUGUUUGAUCCCCACGCUUUCGCGCCUCAGCGUCAGUUGUCGUCCAGAUAGCCGCCUUCGCCACCGGUGUUCCUGCUAAUAUCUACGAAUUUCACCUCUACAUUAGCAAUUCCGCUAUCCCCUCCGACACUCCAGCCUUGCAGUUUCAAAGGCAGUUCCACGGUUGAGCCGUGGGAUUUCACCCCUGACUUGCAAAGCCGCCUACGCGCGCUUUACGCCCAGUGAUUCCGAACAACGCUAGCACCCUUCGUAUUACCGCGGCGGCUGGCAC